GAUGAAGAACGCAGCGAAAUGCGAUAAGUAAUGUGAAUUGCAGAAUUCAGUGAAUCAUCGAAUCUUUGAACGCACAUUGCGCCCGCCAGUAUCCUGGCGGGCAUGCCUGUUCGAGCGUCAUUUCAACCCUCAAGCCCUGCUUGGUGUUGGGGAUCGGCGUUGCCUCCUCCGUCGUUCGCGGCGGGGUGAGGUCGCCGCCCCCGAAAUGAAUUGGCGGUCUCGUCGCAGCUUUCCUUUGCGUAGUAACAUACCACCUCGCAACCAGGAGCGCGGCGCGGCCACUGCCGUAAAACGCCCAACUUUUUCAAGAGUUGACCUCGAAUCAGGUAGGAAUACCCGCUGAACUUAAGCAUAUCAAUAAGCGGAGGA
RNAcentral lists this unclassified non-coding RNA (369 nucleotides) under soil metagenome. RNAcentral describes it as "partial contains 5.8S ribosomal RNA, internal transcribed spacer 2, and large subunit ribosomal RNA". The stretch from base 1 to 120 matches the Rfam family "5.8S ribosomal RNA", at positions 35 to 154 of the family's 154-position model. The record is from RNAcentral.